UACGUAGGGACCAAGCGUUGUUCGGAUUUACUGGGCGUAAAGGGCGCGUAGGCGGCCCCGCAAGUCACUUGUGAAAUCUCCGGGCUUAACUCGGAACUGCCAAGUGAAACUGCGAGGCUAGAGUGCAGAAGGGGCAAUCGGAAUUCUUGGUGUAGCGGUGAGAUGCGUAGAUAUCAAGAGGAACACCUGAGGUGAAGACGGGUUGCUGGGCUGACACUGACGCUGAGGCGCGAAAGCCAGGGGAGCAAACGGG
Molecule: ribosomal RNA, 253 nt
Filed under: uncultured bacterium
Lineage: Bacteria
Description: partial 16S ribosomal RNA
Rfam family: Bacterial small subunit ribosomal RNA
Source: RNAcentral